AGAGACUGAGGCAGGAAUUCCCAUGCAAUUGAUUUAUUGAGGGAGGCCCUAGGGAGAAACCUGCAAGGAAGUGAGGAAAGCGGAACAGCGCCAGGGAGGGAGCUGAGCAAACAUGUGCUUUCAGGAGAGGUCUGACCACAGCCUGAUUCCAAGGGGAGCGCUGCAGUGUUGGCCCCACCUUGAGGUCAGGGGCUGGCUUUUAUGCAGCACCCCAUUAGCCAGUCACUGGCCUUGGGCCACCCCGGCUGUGUGUGUAACCUCUCAGACACCCACCAGAGACAACUGUACCCACCACAGAGACACCAGCACCCACCAGAGACAACAACACCCACCACAGAGACACCAGCACCCAACUCAGAGACAACAACACCCACCAGAGACAACAGCACCCACCACAGAGACAACAACACGCACCUCAGAGACACCAACACCCACCUCAGACACAACAACACCCACCACAGAGACACCAGCACCCACCUCAGAGACAACACCCACCACAGAGACAACAGCACCCACCAGAGACACCAGCACCCACCUCAGAGACAACACCCACCACAGAGACAACAGCACCCACCACAGAGACAACAGCACCCACCUCAGAGACAACAGCACCCACUGCAGAGACACCACCCACCAGAGAGACAAUAGCACCCACCACAGAGACAACAGCACCCACC
RNAcentral lists this long non-coding RNA (677 nucleotides) under Homo sapiens (human). RNAcentral describes it as "non-protein coding lnc-XBP1-1:1". The record is from RNAcentral. Lineage: Eukaryota; Metazoa; Chordata; Mammalia; Primates; Hominidae.